UACGUAGGGUGCAAGCGUUAAUCGGAAUUACUGGGCGUAAAGCGUGCGCAGGCGGUUAUGUAAGACAGGUGUGAAAUCCCCGGGCUUAACCUGGGAACUGCAUUUGUGACUGCAUAGCUAGAGUACGGUAGAGGGGGAUGGAAUUCCGCGUGUAGCAGUGAAAUGCGUAGAGAUGUGGAGGAACACCGAUGGCGAAGGCAGCCCCCUGGGCUAACACUGACGCUCAUGCACGAAAGCGUGGGGAGCAAACAGG
This 253-nucleotide ribosomal RNA is filed under the name uncultured bacterium. RNAcentral's name for it is "partial 16S ribosomal RNA". It matches the Rfam family "Bacterial small subunit ribosomal RNA", at positions 524 to 776 of the family's 1533-position model. The record is from RNAcentral.